Molecule: transfer RNA, 76 nt
Filed under: Clostridiales bacterium
Lineage: Bacteria; Bacillati; Bacillota; Clostridia; Eubacteriales
Also listed under: 2 other names
Description: tRNA-His
Rfam family: tRNA
About the family: Transfer RNA (tRNA) molecules are approximately 80 nucleotides in length. Their secondary structure includes four short double-helical elements and three loops (D, anti-codon, and T loops).
Source: RNAcentral
GUGGUCGUAGUUCAGUUGGCAGAACGCCAGAUUGUGGCUCUGGAGGUCAAGGGUUCGACCCCCUUCGAUCACCCCA